Molecule: ribosomal RNA, 253 nt
Filed under: uncultured bacterium
Lineage: Bacteria
Description: partial 16S ribosomal RNA
Rfam family: Bacterial small subunit ribosomal RNA
Source: RNAcentral
UACGUAGGGGGCAAGCGUUGUCCGGAUUCAUUGGGCGUAAAGAGCGUGUAGGCGGCCAGGUAGGUCGGUUGUGAAAACUGGAGGCUCAACCUUCAGAGGUCGACCGAAACCAUCUGGCUAGAGUCCGGGAGAGGAGAGUGGAAUUCCUGGUGUAGCGGUGAAAUGCGCAGAUAUCAGGAAGAACACCCGUGGCGAAGGCGGCAUCCUGGACCGGUAUUGACGCUGAGGCGCGAAAGCUAGGGUAGCAAACGGG